This 230-nucleotide ribosomal RNA is filed under the name uncultured bacterium. Its description in RNAcentral is "partial 16S ribosomal RNA". It matches the Rfam family "Bacterial small subunit ribosomal RNA", at positions 111 to 334 of the family's 1533-position model. The record is from RNAcentral.
UAACACGUAGGUAACCUGCCCAUGUGUCCGGGAUAACUGCUGGAAACGGUAGCUAAAACCGGAUAGGUAUACAGAGCGCAUGCUCAGUAUAUUAAAGCGCCCAUCAAGGCGUGAACAUGGAUGGACCUGCGGCGCAUUAGCUAGUUGGUGAGGUAACGGCCCACCAAGGCGAUGAUGCGUAGCCGGCCUGAGAGGGUAAACGGCCACAUUGGGACUGAGACACGGCCCAA